GGAAGUAAAAUCGUAACAAGGUUUCCGUAGGUGAACCUGCGGAAGGAUCAUUAUUGUAUAACCGAGGUGCGAGGGCUGUCGCUGACCCGAAAGGUCGUGCACGCCCGAGUGCCCUCACACACAUCCAUCUCACCCCUAUGUGCACCACCGCGUGGGUCCCCCUUUGGCUUGUUCGGAGGGGGGCUUACGUUUUCACACAAACUUUGUAUGCAGUGUAGAAUGUAUCUUUUGUUUUUGCGAUCACGCAAUCAAUACAACUUUCAACAACGGAUCUCUUGGCUCUC
Molecule: unclassified non-coding RNA, 284 nt
Filed under: plant metagenome
Description: partial contains small subunit ribosomal RNA, internal transcribed spacer 1, and 5.8S ribosomal RNA
Rfam family: Eukaryotic small subunit ribosomal RNA (bases 1-53)
Source: RNAcentral